CGAGAUCAAAGCGGCACUCUCCACGAACAGCGUUCAACAGUCCCAUGGUGGCGAUCAGCUUAACGACUUCGACAAGCACUAAACAAUCUGAUUCAACCUGUACGUGAGCUUCUCCCAUGCCUUGCUGUAGCAAGACCUCUUGGACUACCAAAAUGUUAUCUUGGAUUUGUCGACCAGUCAUGAAGGCACUCUGUUCCUCGGAGAUCAACUCGGUAACCAAGGUUUCAAGCGAUUAGCCAUCACUUUUGAAAUUAUAUUAUAUAUGAAAUUACACAGGCUGAUGGGACGGUAUUGAUCUAACCUUUGAGCAUGCGAUGUCUUGGGGAUUAGAGUAAUAAGUGUUCUAUUAAAAACUGGGGGCAUCACACCUGAAGUGAAAAAUUCUUGCACAAAGGAUAUGGAUCUGACGACGACUGUUGGAAAACGUUGAUUUACUCCACCUAUCAAGUGCCCGAGAAGUUACCUAAAACUUGCGAGCUAAAGAGGAGUCCGGUAGCUGUUCAAAGGCCCAAGUCUCAGUGACAACCUUUCGGCAGUUUUGAUUUUGAAGCCAAAAAGCUUCAAAAGUGAAAAUUUUGCACUUACUCGGUGGUUUGGGAUCAGUAUUUAGUAACAACGGGCUGUGGUCAGAACCUAGAGCUGGUAAUGCAAAGACUUCGGCAA
Long non-coding RNA from Eucalyptus grandis, 663 nucleotides. RefSeq lists it as uncharacterized. The record is from RefSeq and is a predicted model, not a curated record. The transcript is spliced from 3 exons. NCBI's taxonomy places the organism in Eukaryota, Viridiplantae, Streptophyta, Magnoliopsida, Myrtales, Myrtaceae.